GGAAAGUGGCAAUGUAAGUGUCAAAAGAAAAAAAAAAGUAUAAAGAAUGAGUGUACUUGAAAGAUAAGAUCAAUAUUGACAAGUGCACCAUCUGACAGACUAAAACUGUGACUAAGUCAGCACUUUAGAUCAUAUGUCCAAAAUAAGACAAGGACUGGCUCAUAUGCAAAUCACACUCAUACAUAGAUCACUCAAAAUUUUGGUAGAUUUCAAGUAAGAUACUGCAAAGACCAAUUAAAACACACCUUCUGCAAGAGGAACC
RNAcentral lists this unclassified non-coding RNA (262 nucleotides) under Hevea brasiliensis (rubber tree). The record is from RNAcentral. Lineage: Eukaryota; Viridiplantae; Streptophyta; Magnoliopsida; Malpighiales; Euphorbiaceae.